CUCUCUCCACACAGAUCCGCAAGGUCAAAGAGGGGGAGCUGUUGGGAGACUCGCCACCACUGAAGGUAAAAGUUGGGGACUGGGUGAGGGUCAAGGUCCACAAGAGAAAGUGGCUGGAACCCAGGUGGACUGGGCCGUACGAAGUGAAGGAAGUUACUUCACACUCUGUCCAGGUCAAAGGUAAAUCAGGAGCACCUUGGCACCACCUUACACAUUGCACUCCAGCCCCAACCCCUUCCAGAACUUUGACUGAAACCAGGGCCGAUUUGCGCGCCCUACAUAAAUUCGAUUCCAACCACUGAAACCUUAGUUGGGGAAAAUGGGACAAUGGCUUCCGUUUCCACGACCUAAGGCACCACGCCCAGGGUCGGGGUACAUCCCUCCCCUGGGAGAGGCUGGGGAUAUCAGCUCCCCUGUUUGUUAUUUUUGUGAGUGUACACUACUAGGCUGAUCACCACCGCUAUUGACCCUGGUCAGGCUGAUAGGGGCCUAAUGUUUCCUUUGCUUCAGGUGGAAGACACUGAACCCGAGUAUGCAUUCGAAUAGUUUAGUUUUCACGCCUGCCACGCGGGAGGCCCGGGUUCAGAUCCCAGCCCAUGCACCAUGGGACUAAAAUGUAAGAAGAUAUGUUUUGCCUGGAGAGAUACGGUUGCUAGCGUUUGUUUAAGAUAUAAAUGUAACGUUUUGAUAGCUUGAUUAGUUUAAAUUGAAAGGCUAACUAAUUAGAAAAUAAUAGCGAGAGAAUUUUGAUAUAAUACGUUCUCUGUUGCUGGAAAUGGCAUACAGAGAAAGAGUUGAAUGAUGUUAUUUUUUAUAAGUAUGGCGAUUUACAUGGUACAUAUAAGGACAUAGACAUUUCAUAAGUGUGAAGCCGAAAGAGAGAUACAGUUGGAAUAUUGGUUUUAAUCUUGUGAUAGAGGAAAGGCAGAACGCUGUUUGAAAAGAGGUAAUCGCUGGGCUAUGUUUGGCGGGAAAGAAGCGUUUUGUUUUGUGAUAAAUUCUGCUUAUUGAUUCGUGGUAUUGAUUGUUUAGUAACACCAGUGAAUUGAACAUUGCAAGAAAAAUAUCAAGUCAUUAAGGUGAAUUACAGGUGGAGUUAAUUUUAUAAUUAACUGGGAAGGUGCACAUUAAACACAGUUGUGUAUAAUGGCAGGGUAUUCCUAGCAAACAGAAUGGGCUGGUUUGCAGACAAACUGAAAGGGUUUUAGGGUUUUAAGCAAUCUUGGGUCAAAUUGGUUAAAUAGUACGUUAAAAUAUGGGGUUUCAUAGAUUGAAGUACAGUAUUGUAUCCAAGGGUAGCGCAUGUUCAAUUAAGUUUAAAACUAAUGAUUGGGGGGAAUACAAUGGAAGUAUAAGCAUUUUUAGGUUUUGUUUGUAGGUAACUUUUGGGUUUCUGAAUCGGUGAAGUAUGAGGAAAUGCUGACCAAAUGGUUAUUUUAUGGAAUAUGGAGCGCUUAGCUCUUUGGGGAAAAAUUCCUAGGGACAUGAUAUAUUAAAGGGGUAGACACACAUGACAUUUUAAAGUUUUAUUUUCUGAGUUUUAAUUAAACACGUGAAAUUCUUUUGAUAGGGAAUGUUCUGGGAACUUGAGAUACGAAAUCUAGAUAAGGUUAUUAGCUUUCAUUUGUCUAAUGUAGUAAGAAAGAAAAAACGGUUCUGAAAAGGGGUUAUGACUUUUUUGACCCCACUGGUGACUUUUCCUUUUGUGGUCUGAUCAGCCGCAAUGAAAAGCCAUUGGAUGGUGAAUUUAAGGUCAUUUGGGAUACUAACUUUAAGGAAACUAGGAGAACUGAUAAUUAUGAUGGAGUUAAAGUUCUUAGACACAAUUGAUAAUUUGAACCAAUGAGAAGACAAAAUGACGAAAAGGGUACAAUAAUUUUUCUUUGGGGAGUAGUUCAGAUUAGUCAUUUUGAUCUGAUUAUGUUACGUGAAUAUCGUUUGAUAAGUAGGGGUACUUUUUACAUUAUCUAGAUAAGUUUAUUUUCCCUUAGGAAGUCAGCUGUGGUUGUAUUUAGUGGAAGAGAUUUAACACAACAAGACUGUGGAAUUAAUAUAAUAGUAAUAUUAUAUUUUGUUGAUAAAACAGGUUAAUAAUGGUAGACUUAAGCCAACAGGACAGGAAUAUAUGACAUCUGUAGGGAAUCCAGGAUUAUUGAGGGUAUCGAGAUAAAUGUAAAUAGCUAUGUAAUAAGACCAUGAGACAUUUAGUACUCCCCUGCACUGCUGAGACCUUGAUGGGUUGGAAGAAGAAGGAGGAGAGCAUAAACAAGGAAGAGAAGAUAAAAGUAACAUAGAAGAAUUAGAUAACGGUUAGUGAGUGGAGACCAGCAUAGUUAAAUUAUAAACAGGUGAGGACAGAAAUAACACUGGGAGAGACAGAAAAGACAUAAGAAUAGAAGAUAGCAGGAUAAUUUAGUUAGGUUCAUUUAGUUAGGAUAUUAAUACAUGGAGAGACUAUCGGCUCCAUAGGCAUGUAUUAUAGUUUUGAUUUUAAGUUAUGUUUGGUAAAAUUCGCUAGGAAAAGAUAUGAUAAUUUAGUUGAAAGAAGUUGUUCAAUCUUAAAGAAGAUAGGACACUUGAUAGAGAAAUGCACAGGGUACCUAAGGAUGAAUGCCCCAGGGAGAAUUGGACAUGUGGUAUAUGAAAGGGGGCAAUCCUACAAGAGAAGGGCUGACAUAAGGAUAAUUUACUAACCUUACAAAAGACAUUGUUAAGAAAUGCAGCAAAAUUGAUACAUGGUUUGAGCCAUGUAUAAAAAGGGGGAGUAAGGGGGAGUAUAGUAGAGCAGGCGAUAGAACAGGAUAGGAUGCUACUAGAACAAAAACAUUUUUUGUAGAAUGUCCGUUCCAACAUUUGGAAAUGGACUUAUUGAACUAUUCCGAAUUGAGGGGAAUAAGGGGUGUUUAACAAUAACAGAUAAGUAUAGCAAAUGGGUAGAAGUGUUCCCAACUUACUUGGUGGACAUGAUUAUGGUAGCUAGAAUAUAGGACAAGAUAUAAUCCCUAGUGUUGAUACUGGGAUCUAUCUCUUUAAAUGAUGGAUGACAGUUUAGCUAAUCAGGUAGAGCCUAUAGAAUGCCAGAGUUAGGGAGAAUAGAGAUACCAGAACAGGUAGACAUAGAAGUUAAAGAUAUACUAGCAGAGCACAUGAGAAGACUGUUUGUUAACCAAACCCGUAUGUCCAAGAUUUUGUGUUCAACAGGUGAAUUACAGGAGAAGGUGAUUCACUCAAUCCAACCAGGAGACUGGGUGUGGAUCCAGUCCCUGAGGAGAAAAGACUGGAAGCAGCCCCGUGGGGAAGGCCCAUACCAGGUGCUGUUAAACCAUUGCCUUUGCCAUUAGAAAAGCUAAGAGAGUCACUUGGGUCCACGUUACCCACUGCAAGGAGGUAUUUACACAUAUGACCACUGCUGAUCACACACAGAGUUAGGAGAAGAACCGAUACCAACAGGGUCCGGGGGUUACCUCCUUAACGAAGAUUCCCUAUCCCGACCGUUCAUCACUGUGUGUGCUCCUAGAGGUGUGAGUAUGGGGUGGUACCAAGCAGAGAGACUAAGGGCAGGAGAGGGUUGACGGUUUUUGGGAAGAGUAGAAACUCUGAGCUGCAUCAUAGUCUAAUCUUUCUGAUAUAUUCAGAUCCACCACCUACUGGUACUAAACAUAGGUUACCGUUGUCAUGGAGAAGAAGUAAAAGAUAAACUAUAUAAUACACUGAUGAGUGACGUACAGAAUAAGGAAUCAAAGAAGAUCAAGAUGUAGAAUUUAAGGUAAACAUUAAACAAUUUCCUGGGGAAGCAGACAACUGUACAGGAAUAUGGGUUGGCCAGAUUGAAGUACUCAGCCAACCCACCUCGGUUCACCUAAAUUCCGGAGUGAAUACCAGUGUUAUAGAUACAAAAAUGGCACCGAGAAUUAAGAUGAUUUUAAUGGCUGGAAAGGUAAUUGUUAAUAUGACUGACUUAGGUUUGAAAGCACAGGAGAAAAUGUGUAACCUCAUAGCACCUAUAACUGAUGAAGGGUGGGCUAGUACCAGCAAAGGACGCAGACGACAGAAAUGACCACAAAGGGUGGUUAGGAAUUGCGCCCUGGGGUUAUUGGUCUAACCAGUUCGAGUUAGUCAUCAGAGGCCAGUUAUAGGAGGCUAAAGUAGGCACAGGAGGAGUUUUGACCAGGAUGGGAGUAGCUUUACAAGAUGGAUGCUAUUGGCAUCCUCAGGGAAGUUCCAGAUGAAUACAAAGCUAUGAAUCAAAUAUGUGAAGGCUUUAACACUACAUUAUUUUGGUAGUUGACAAUAAAUAAUAAUGUGGAUUGAAUUAAUGACAUCUUUUAAUCAACAGAGAUUCAUGAAUGAAACAGGGGAUGCAGUAAAGAGGUUCUCUGACCAAUUAUCCGCCACCUCCCUCAUGACCUGGUAAAAUAGACUGACUCUCGAUAGGUUACGGGCAAAGAGGAUGGUGUAGGUAGAAUGAUUAGGUUCAUUGCUGUACGUACAUUUUUGAUAACACAGAUCAUGUUUGGGAAAUGGAAAAGUGUUGCAAGAACUGUAUUAUGGGCUGCUUUCACCUGUAUGAGUGUGAUUGGGUUGUGUGGUUGUUGUUUGGUCCCGUGUGCAAGAGGUUUAAUCACCAGAACUCUAGAGAGAUGAUAACGGAGCAGAUGGUGAGCUACGGACCGAGUCAAAGUUCAGAUCAAUGAGAUGACAAGUACCUACCGCCGAGCAAGAUUGUUCUUUUUUGUCACGUCUUGCAGACGUGAAGAGGGGGAUUUGUAAUAAAGAUAAUCUAACGUUUUACCUAAUGAUAUAUAAGGAGGGCAUUUGCACAACAUGUUUCACAACAGCACACAACAAAAUUCCAGAGACAUAUUGAGCAACCAACUGAUACCAAUCACGACCACACCUAGAGACAGAUGGCUGACUUAAGCCCUAGCCACACGAACUGACCACUGGUGUAAAGAACAACAUUCCAUGAAUAUCGCAAAGCACCCAGACACGAAUUACCAGAAAUACACACACACACACACUUAGGUGUGUUGGACUCCGAGGACAAAGGACACUGCCAAGGGCCAAUGGGAAGUCGACACCACCUGGAGAGUGGACCGUCCCUCCACUCAUCGACCAGUCAGGAGAGCGGACCUACUAGACUCAACGUCAACACACUGUUAUUUCAUUGUAUAAAUUGGAUGUACACUAUGUUUCGGGGCUCUCUCUUCUGCUAGUUCCCUAAGAGCUAAACGAAGGAGUCCGUGCACGCUUUGCCAAACAUCUUUGUCUCAUAAUAAACUGCCUUACUAUAAACUGAAUCACCCGGUCCAGCGUCUUGACUUGUCUCCUUCUCAAAUAACUAAUCAUCAACAAAA
RNAcentral lists this long non-coding RNA (5357 nucleotides) under Salmo salar (Atlantic salmon). Its description in RNAcentral is "lncRNA (ENSSSAG00000102341.1)". The record is from RNAcentral. Lineage: Eukaryota; Metazoa; Chordata; Actinopteri; Salmoniformes; Salmonidae.